RNAcentral lists this ribosomal RNA (253 nucleotides) under uncultured bacterium. Its description in RNAcentral is "partial 16S ribosomal RNA". It matches the Rfam family "Bacterial small subunit ribosomal RNA", at positions 524 to 776 of the family's 1533-position model. The record is from RNAcentral.
UACGUAGGGGGCUAGCGUUGUCCGGAAUCAUUGGGCGUAAAGCGCGCGUAGGCGGCCCGGUAAGUCCGUUGUGAAAGUCAAAGGCUCAACCUUUGAAAGCCGAUGGAUACUGCCGGGCUAGAGUCCGGAAGAGGCGAGUAGAAUUCCUGGUGUAGCGGUGAAAUGCGCAGAUAUCAGGAGGAACACCAAUUGCGAAGGCAGCUCGCUGGAACGUUACUGACGCUGAGACGCGAAAGCGUGGGGAGCAAACAGG